GAUUUUCCGGUCGGUUGAUCCUGCCGGACCUGACUGCUAUCGGAUUGAUACUAAGCCAUGUGAGUCAUUGUAGUAAUACAAGGCAGACGGCUCAGUAACACGUAGCCAAUCUAACCUAUGGACGGGGAUAACCUCGGGAAACUGAGGAUAAACCCCGAUAGAUCAUUAUGCCUGGAAAGGUUUAUGGUCCAAAUGAUUCGUCGCCGUAGGAUGAGACUGCGGCCUAUCAGCUUGUUGGUGAGGUAAUGGCCCACCAAGGCUAUUACAGGUACGGGCUCUGAGAGGAGUAGCCCGGAGAUGGGUACUGAGACACGGACCCAGGCCCUAUGGGGCGCAGCAGGCGAGAAAACUUUGCAAUGUGCGAAAGCACGACAAGGUUAAUCCGAGUGGUUUCUGCUAAAGGAACCUUUUGUUAGUUCUAGAAACACUAACGAAUAAGGGGUGGGCAAGUUCUGGUGUCAGCCGCCGCGGUAAAACCAGCACCUCAAGUGGUCAGGAUGAUUAUUGGGCCUAAAGCAUCCGUAGCCGGCUCUGUAAGUUUUCGGUUAAAUCUGUACGCUUAACGUACAGGCUGCCGGGAAUACUGCAUAGCUAGGGAGUGGGAGAGGUAGACGGUACUCGGUAGGAAGGGGUAAAAUCCUUUGAUCUAUUGAUGACCACCUGUGGCGAAGGCGGUCUACCAGAACACGUCCGACGGUGAGGGAUGAAAGCUGGGGGAGCAAACCGGAUUAGAUACCCGGGUAGUCCCAGCUGUAAACUAUGCAAACUCAGUGAUGCAUUGGCUUGUGGCCAAUGCAGUGCUGCAGGGAAGCCGUUAAGUUUGCCGCCUGGGAAGUACGUACGCAAGUAUGAAACUUAAAGGAAUUGGCGGGGGAGCACCACAAGGGGUGAAGCCUGCGGUUCAAUUGGAUUCAACGCCGGAA
RNAcentral lists this ribosomal RNA (923 nucleotides) under uncultured archaeon. RNAcentral describes it as "bacterial SSU rRNA". It matches the Rfam family "Archaeal small subunit ribosomal RNA", at positions 1 to 923 of the family's 1478-position model. The record is from RNAcentral.